GAGUUUGAUCGUGGCUCAGGAUGAACGCUGGCGGCGUGCCUAACACAUGCAAGUCGAACGAAGCAAUCGGGAUGAAGUUUUCGGAUGGAUUCCUGGUUGACUGAGUGGCGGACGGGUGAGUAACGCGUGGAUAACCUGCCUCACACUGGGGGAUAACAGUUAGAAAUGGCUGCUAAUACCGCAUAAGCGCACAGUACCGCAUGGUACGUGUGAAAAACCCAGGUGGUGUGAGAUGGAUCCGCGUCUGAUUAGCCAGUU
Molecule: ribosomal RNA, 258 nt
Filed under: uncultured microorganism
Description: partial 16S ribosomal RNA
Rfam family: Bacterial small subunit ribosomal RNA
Source: RNAcentral